This 246-nucleotide small RNA is filed under the name Arabidopsis thaliana (thale cress). Its description in RNAcentral is "ATSL192740". The record is from RNAcentral. Lineage: Eukaryota; Viridiplantae; Streptophyta; Magnoliopsida; Brassicales; Brassicaceae.
CUUGAAACACUGCUUUAAGAACUCAAUAAAGGUUCUUGCAUCUCAAUGGGUGUGGAUUAUUUGUUAUAGGGAGAUCCGACUUACCUAGUUGUAGAGAACGACAAGACUCUAGCGACAUACGGUAUCAACGCAGUGUGCACUCAUCUUGGAUGUGUUGUGCCAUGGAACAAAGCUGAGAACAAGUUUCUAUGUCCUUGCCAUGGAUCCCAAUACAACGCCCAAGGAAGAGUCGUUAGAGGUCCAGCC